GAUGAACGCUGGCGGCGUGCCUAAUACAUGCAAGUCGAGCGAACGGACGAGAAGCUUGCUUCUCUGAUGUUAGCGGCGGACGGGUGAGUAACACGUGGAUAACCUACCUAUAAGACUGGGAUAACUUCGGGAAACCGGAGCUAAUACCGGAUAAUAUUUUGAACCGCAUGGUUCAAAAGUGAAAGACGGUCUUGCUGUCACUUAUAGAUGGAUCCGCGCUGCAUUAGCUAGUUGGUAAGGUAACGGCUUACCAAGGCAACGAUGCAUAGCCGACCUGAGAGGGUGAUCGGCCACACUGGAACUGAGACACGGUCCAGACUCCUACGGGAGGCAGCAGUAGGGAAUCUUCCGCAAUGGGCGAAAGCCUGACGGAGCAACGCCGCGUGAGUGAUGAAGGUCUUCGGAUCGUAAAACUCUGUUAUUAGGGAAGAACAUAUGUGUAAGUAACUGUGCACAUCUUGACGGUACCUAAUCAGAAAGCCACGGCUAACUACGUGCCAGCAGCCGCGGUAAUACGUAGGUGGCAAGCGUUAUCCGGAAUUAUUGGGCGUAAAGCGCGCGUAGGCGGUUUUUUAAGUCUGAUGUGAAAGCCCACGGCUCAACCGUGGAGGGUCAUUGGAAACUGGAAAACUUGAGUGCAGAAGAGGAAAGUGGAAUUCCAUGUGUAGCGGUGAAAUGCGCAGAGAUAUGGAGGAACACCAGUGGCGAAGGCGACUUUCUGGUCUGUAACUGACGCUGAUGUGCGAAAGCGUGGGGAUCAAACAGGAUUAGAUACCCUGGUAGUCCACGCCGUAAACGAUGAGUGCUAAGUGUUAGGGGGUUUCCGCCCCUUAGUGCUGCAGCUAACGCAUUAAGCACUCCGCCUGGGGAGUACGACCGCAAGGUUGAAACUCAAAGGAAUUGACGGGGACCCGCACAAGCGGUGGAGCAUGUGGUUUAAUUCGAAGCAACGCGAAGAACCUUACCAAAUCUUGACAUCCUUUGACAACUCUAGAGAUAGAGCUUUCCCCUUCGGGGGACAAAGUGACAGGUGGUGCAUGGUUGUCGUCAGCUCGUGUCGUGAGAUGUUGGGUUAAGUCCCGCAACGAGCGCAACCCUUAAGCUUAGUUGCCAUCAUUAAGUUGGGCACUCUAAGUUGACUGCCGGUGACAAACCGGAGGAAGGUGGGGAUGACGUCAAAUCAUCAUGCCCCUUAUGAUUUGGGCUACACACGUGCUACAAUGGACAAUACAAAGGGCAGCGAAACCGCGAGGUCAAGCAAAUCCCAUAAAGUUGUUCUCAGUUCGGAUUGUAGUCUGCAACUCGACUACAUGAAGCUGGAAUCGCUAGUAAUCGUAGAUCAGCAUGCUACGGUGAAUACAUUCCCGGGUCU
Molecule: ribosomal RNA, 1372 nt
Filed under: uncultured bacterium
Lineage: Bacteria
Description: bacterial SSU rRNA
Rfam family: Bacterial small subunit ribosomal RNA
Source: RNAcentral